UACGUAGGGGGCGAGCGUUGUCCGAAUUUACUGGGCGUAAAGCGCGCGUAGGCGGCUCUUUAAGUCUGGGGUGAAAGGUUCAGCGCUCAACGUGAACAGUGCCCUGGAUACUGGGGGGCUUGAGUCUGGCAGGGGGAAGCGGAAUUCCUGGUGUAGCGGUGAAAUGCGUAGAUAUCAGGAGGAACACCGGUGGCGAAGGCGGCUUCCUGGGCUAAGACUGACGCUGAGGUGCGAAAGCGUGGGGAGCAAACGGG
This 254-nucleotide ribosomal RNA is filed under the name uncultured prokaryote. RNAcentral describes it as "partial 16S ribosomal RNA". It matches the Rfam family "Bacterial small subunit ribosomal RNA", at positions 524 to 776 of the family's 1533-position model. The record is from RNAcentral.